UAGAUUUUCAUUGAUUAUGUUCGUGGUUUAGAGCUUUGGCGCCUGGUCUCUUGGACUCGGAACUUCUUAAGCUGCAGACACUGGAGCACCUUAUGCGGAUGUCACUGUAAUGACCCCAACCCCAAACUAUCCCCAAAGGCCAUUUUGUCUUUCUUUAAAAGAGAAAGAAAGAAAGAAAGAAAGAAAGAAAGAGAGAGAGAGAGAGAGAGAGAGAAAGACAGAGAGAGAGAGGAAGAAGAGGAAGGGAGAAAGCUCACCUGAGCUCGUCGCCGGCCGUGAUCACGUUCAGCUCGUCACCCCCGAUCAACACCCUAGACCAUCAUCGUGUUCCUCUCGAUGAGACGAAGCCGUAGCCGCCGACCGCGCCGCAAUCGGAGCCCGGAUGAGCCCGCACGCGCCUCCAGAAAUUUUGCCUCUGCGCGCGCGUGAGGUACACGCGCCGCCGCCGGAAAUCGUCGCCGCCGCCUCCGCCGCCGGUAAGCUCCGCCCUCGCCGCCGGUGACCGACACCGGUGACUCGGUCAACUCGUCCGAGUCAACUCAGCGAGUCAACUCGGUUGACUCGGUAAACCGGUGGAUUGACUGGUUUGACCGGUUUAAAUUGAAUUUGGUUCGGUUAGGGUAAACCGGUCGGUUUAGUCAAAUCGAUUUCUGGUCAAAGCUUGACCGGGUUGACUUUGACCAGCGGGUUGACUUUUCCGAAAACCUUGACCAGUUCCGUUUUCGACCGUUCGAAAGGCGUUCUGACUCAGAAUUUCGAUCUGAUUUCAGAUAUGGUGUCUAUUUGAGCAGCUGGAGUUCAUAGACAACACUUUUCUAUUGCUAAGGUGAGACAAACAAGUAUGUGAUAUUUGGACGGACUUGGUGCUAUUGGACUUUUCUUUCGGAUUUUAUUUGGGCAUGGGUGAGAGUUGUCGGGUUUAUGGGCUUUUAUAUUACGGGAUAUUGUUGGUGGCCCGUCGUCCUUAGUGUCAGGGAGACGUGUGUCACUUUGUUGUAUGAUGACGCAUUGGGGGUGACACGCUGUCCUCCAGAUAGGAGGUGACGGGUGUCACAAAUUUGGUAUCAGAGCGGGUUCCAUCCCGGUUCCGUCCCGGGAUGGCGGUCAGGGGAUUCGGUUUUCAUCGGUUUUCAACGUUCUUUUUGUUUUUAAAAAAAAAAUAUAUAUAUAUAUAUAUAUAUAUAUAUAUAUAUAUUUAUUUAUAUAUUUGGAAAUUCUUUUAGCACCAUUCUGUCCAGUAAUUACUAACUCAAAUGUCUCUUUCUAUGACGAUGAGUAAAAUCAUCGUCAUUCGUCCUUCGACUAUCAGAGUUCUCGCCAGAUGUUCAGCAGUUGCGUGAAGUCCAAGUUCGUCAGUUUUCUCGGGAGUUAUCAGUUUCUUCGGUCAUGAUUUCGAGGCUAUCCAGGAGUGGAUAUGUGACGUUUUUGCCACCAGCCCACUUCAAGCAAUCGUUCCACGAGUUUUGUUACUGGAGAUUAUGUGGUGUGUGGUAUGAGCCAUUGGUAGGCAUGUGUUGUUGUGUGUACGAGUAUAUUGACUAUUUUGGAGAUAUAUUUGUUUUGUGAACUCGUGGAGAUCGCUUUUGAAUUGGGGUGCAGCAGCUUGCGUUGUGUGGGUGUUGGAGUUACACUUUGGUAUGUUUACCAAUUUUGGCAUUGUUGAUCGUUUCAGAGAUGUGUCGGUUUGGACAAUUGAUAUAGGACAUUGGGAGCUGUUUAUGUCCAUCACGGUGUACCAGUUAUGCUUGGAGGGCCGAUUUGUUCGGAUAUUCGUCAGGGAUGGAGCUAUGUUUUUACGAUGUCAUCCUUGGGAUGGAUUGGCUGUCACGGCAUCGAGUAGUGUUGGAUUUCCUGAGGGCAAGAGUUCCUAUUGCUGGAGCAAAUGGAAGUUUUUAUUGCAUGCAUUCUACAUGCUGAGGAGUUAUAGGACAUAUGAGCAGAGAGAUUUUUGGCGACCAUUUCAAUAGUUAAGGAUGAUGGACAGUAUGAGCUGCAUGAUCUUCUGAUUAUUGCAGAGUGUGAGGAUUUUUUUUUGUGGCCUUAGGAAGGGUCACCACCAGACAGAGGAUACACUCUUGCGAUUGAUUUGGAACCACGGACAUCACCGGUUUCACAAAUUCUAUACUGAUUAGCGCCAGCGGAGAUGACCAAGUUGGAAGAGCAUAUUAAAGUUUCAUCAGACAAGGGUUUUAUCAGACCAAGUACUUUACCGUGGGGAACAUCAUCAUUGUUUGUAAGGAAGAAAGAUGGGAGUUUCAAGCUUUGUAUCGACUACAUAGACUUGAACAUGGUAACCAUCGUAUUGACGAGUUGUUAGAAGAGCUUAAUGGAGGUUCAUCGUUCUCGAAGUUUGUCUUGGCAUCAAGAUACCAUCAGAUUGCUAUAGCUGAGGAGUAUGUACGGAAUGCAGAUUUCCGUUAUGGAUAUUACGAGUUCGUAGUGAUACCAUUUGGGUCGACAAAGGCACUGUUGCAUUCAUGAAGAUAUGAAUGACGUUUUCGUGAACAUUUGGAUAGGUGUGCGAUUGUAUUCACCAACGACAUCCUGAUUAUUUUGGAAUAGAAAGGAGAUUUGUGAGCAUUUAGCGGAUUGCGUUGGAUAAGCCUGGAGAGCACCAGUUGUUCGCUAAGUUGAGGAAGUGUAGCUUCUGGCAGAGGAAUGUUGUAUUUUUGGGUAACAUGGUUUUGGAAGCAGAAUUUUGAUGGAUCCAAAGAAGAUUAAUACCGUUUCGGGAAGGUCGGAACCUAAGAGCGCUACAAAGAUCUGCCGUUCUUUUUGGGUUAAUAGUGUACUACUGGAAGUUCAUCAAGGGUUUCACCGGUAUUGUAAUGUUAAAGACGCGGUCUACAUGUAAAGACGUUAAGUGUGGUUGGAUAGAUUUUUGUUCGAGGAGUUUCACUGAAUUGAAGCACAACUAAUGAAGACACCAGUUUUGGGUUCUACUGAGGCUGAGGCUUGCUGUGAUGUGUCAGAUACUGGAUUGGAUUUAAAUUAAGGUAUGAGGAUUAAGUCAUUCAUAUGCAUCACGCCAGAGAGGCUGUAGUGGUAUUUGCGUUAUCGUUUUGGAGAUCGUAAUUGUACGGGAAGGAAGUUCAGAUUCUCUGGGAUUAUUAGAAUGUGAAAUUUAUCUUCAUUUAUUAAAAACUUGUACUUGGACAGUGCAAUUGGAUUGAGUUUGUAGCAGGCUAUAGUCUGGAUAUCGCAUACUAUCUGGUAAGGACAACCAGGUGAUAAAUGCCUUGGGUAGGCGUAUGAGCUGUACCUCAGGAACCAAGAAGGUUCAUGAGUUGGAGAUUUGCUAAUCUCAGAUUGUGUGUUAUUACUGUCAAAGGAAAGACAUAUGGCCUUAAGGCUUGGAGCAGGCAGUUUUGCUAUGGAGGAUACACAAGCAUGAGUUAGCAUUAUGGAUUUGGUUGAACAGAUCGAGAUUGGGAGUAUUGGAUAUCAUACAGCUUUGAGCAGGAUAUACUUGUACCGAAACCGAGUUUGUGUGUUGGACGAUAAGUUGUUAAGAAAAGGAAUCUUACAACAAACAUAUCACUCGUGUUUCUCAACGCAUCGGGAACACCAAAGGGUACAAAGAUAUGAAGAGUUAACUAUAAUUGGUGUAGUAUGAAGAUGUUUGUAACUACAUUACGUCGCGGUGCCAGACAUGUUAUAUGGCAAUGACAGAGGAUCAGUUAUCUAUUAUGUUAUUUUUGAGCUUGCUUUUGCCGGAGUGGAAAUGAGGCAUGGUGAUUAUGGACAUUGUUAUUGGAUUUUAAAUCACCAUAUGUGGAAAGGAUGCCACAUGGGUAGUCAUGGAUAGACUUACCAAGUCAGCCCAUUUUCUAAGUAAUUAAGAAGACAAUCAGAGAUAAUUAAUUGGAGCAGACCUACAUUAUUGAGUUUGGGAAGUUUCAUUGAUGUCAACAUUGUAUCGGAUUGGGAAUCGAAGUUCACAUCUACAUUUCAGAGAGCCUUUCGGAAGGCACUUGGGACAAAGAUCAUGUGAGUACAUCUUAUCAUCCGUUGACAUAUUGUCAGUCAGAGAGGACUACUCAGAACUUAAAGGAUAUGUUCAGAGAUUGCGUGGGAUGGAAUUUCAGAAAGCAUCUACCAAUACCAGAGUUUGCCUAUAUCGACAGCUAUCUUUUGAGUAUAAAAAAAAAAAAAUUUAUAUGAGGGUUAUUUAUGGUAGAACUUAUAAUAUACCACUUUGUUGGACCAAAGUGGGGGAGCAAUAUGAGUUAGAACUAUUAAUGGUUCAAGAGACAGUAGAGCAAAGGACAUGCUCAAGGAUUGACUUUCGGAAGCCCAUGACGUCAAAAGAUUUAUGCAGCUAAGCGCCGUAAGGAUUUGGAGCUACAUAUGGGCACCUAAUAUACUUGAAAUUAAGGACAUUUCAGGAGGGGCCUAAGACUCAGAAGAUAAAAGAGCUUAAACCGAGACACAUGGAAUUGUAUCCGGCACUGGAGUGGAUUGGAUGAGUUGCUUGCAGUUACUUUAUCAGCAGUAUAUCAGCCUUCUAGGACUUGGUUCAUAUGACAGCAUUGCAAAAGUUGAGAAGGCGCUAUAAUUAUUUUGCAGUUGACAUCAAGUGAGUUCAUAAAGAUUUUAUGGACCUUAUCAUCUAUUGAAGAUUUUGGAUCAUCAAGAGAAAACAGUUCGGGGAAUGUCGACCGUGUUUGUCCGAAUUCGUUGGGAGGGAGAUAAGACUCAGGAGGAGAUCUGAAAGGCCGAGCGAGGAUUAGUAUUCGAGGUUUUGGAGGUUUUGCUACGAUAACAUUGGGCAUGUCAGCUUAUGAAUUGAAUUCGGGGACGAAUUCCUUGUAAGUGGGGGAGAAUUGUAAUGACCCCAACCCCAAACUAUCCCCAAAGGCAAUUUUGUCUUUCUUUAAAAGAGAAAGAAAGAAAGAAAGAAAGAAAGAAAGAAAGAAAGAAAGAGAGAGAGAGAGACAAAGAGAGAGAGAGAGAGAGAGAGAGAGAGGAAAAAGAGGAAAGGAGAAAGCUCACCUGAGCUCGUCGCCGGAUCACGUUCAGCUCGUCACCCCCGAUCAACACCCUAGGUAACCGCCGGAAACCGCAUGCCUUAAGUUUAGUUUCGUUUCCAUUUAGUAAAUCGCCCAUAACUUCCUAACCAUUGAUCAUCUCGUGCAUCCAAGGCCAUCAUCGUGUUCCUCUCGACGAGACGAAGCCGUAGCCGCCCACCGCGCCGCAAUCGGAGCCCGGAUGAGCCCGCACGCGCCUCCAGAAAUUUCGCCUCUGCGCGCGUGAGGUACACGCGCCGCCGCCGGAAAUCGUCGCCGCCGCCUCCGCCGCCGGUAAGCUCCGCCCUCGCCGCCGGUGACCGACGCCGGUGACUCGGUCAACUCGUCCGAGUCAACUCAGCGAGUCAACUCGGUUGACUCGGUAAACCUGUGGAUUGACUGGUUUAAAUUGAUUUCGGUUCGGUUAGGGUAAACCGGUCGGUUUAGUCAAAUCGAUUUCUGGUCAAAGCUUGACCGGGUUGACUUUGACCAGCGGGUUGACUUUUUCGAAAACCUUGACCAGUUCCGUUUUCGACCGUUCGAAAGGCGUUCUGACUCAGAAUUUCGAUCUGAUUUCAGAUAUGGAGUCUAUUUGAGCAGCUGGAGUUCAUAGACAACACUUUUCUAUUGCUAAGGUGAGACAAACAAGUAUGUGAUAUUUGGACGGACUUGGUGCUAUUGGACUUUUCUUUCGGAUUUUAUUUGGGCAUGGGUGAGAGUUGUCGGGUUUAUGGGCUUUUAUAUUACGGGAUAUUGUUGGUGGCCCGUCGUCCUUAGUGUCAGGAAAACGUGUGUCACUUUGUUGUAUGAUGACGCGUCAGGGGUGACACGCUGUCCUCCAGAUAGGAGGUGACGGGUGUCACAGUCACAUAGCUGGGAUUCAAUUGUUUCUUUAUUACCAAUGGGAGGUGAGCUGUCUGGGGAGAUCUAGACACUUCCCUUGAAGAAUACCACACUUGCGCUUUCUCCAAAAGAAAACUAUGGCAGCCAUCGCUAACCGUGUGAAACCCAAGUCUUGGGUUACAGAACCAAAAAAGUUCAGAAGAAUUAUAGCUUUUGGAAAACGGUCGUCUGAACUACCAUCCUCACAACUCUCUUCUUUUGACAUCAAGGUUAUAUCAAUUUUUUUUGCCACGGUUCUGCCUUUUCUGGGUCAUUGGAAUAUAACUUUGUUUCACUCUUUUAUACCCUGUAUGCAUAACAGGAACUUUCAAGAGUAGACAGCAGUUCAAAUGACAGCACAUCGUGCGGAGAGUUUCGGUCUGAGUACAGUGAAAUGAGCAGAGAAAGCAUACUAAAACUAGCAGAAAACACAGCUUACACAGCCACAACCGUUCUUGAUCUCUUCCGGUUUAUAGCCCCUAAGAUGAUGAGACGAGCAGAAGCUCAUUUCUGUCACGGCAUUGCCGAAGAUCUGGACGACCCUAAGUAUGGACAUUAUAAGUACUGGUCUAAUCCAUUAGAGACCAAAUUACCUGACGCACCAGAGAUGGAGAUGCACUGUCUUUACGGAGUUGGGAUUCCUACCGAGAGAUCUUAUGUUUACAAGCUCUCAUCCAUUUCCGGUAAAUGUAAGAGCAGCAUUCCAUUCCGAAUAGAUAGGUCAAUGGAUGGAGACAAUUCGUGUCUUAAAGGAGGAGCUCGAUUUGCCGACGGAGAAGAGAGUGUACCGGUGAUAAGUGCGGGGUUUAUGUGCGCAAAGGGAUGGAGAGGGAAAACACGGUUUUACCCAGCGGGGAUGGAGACAUUUGUGCGGGAAUAGAUACACAAGCCACGGGGAAGUCUACUGGAAAGUCGAGGAACGGAAAGUGGAGCCCAUGUAGACAUAAUGGGUAAUAUUGGACUCAUUGAAGAUGUUUAGAGGAUCGCUUCCGGAGCUUCAGGCCAGGAGAUAGGUAGCGAUAGGGUUUACUCUGAUGUGAUGAAGAUGUCGGAGAAGAUUAUAAUCAGGUUAUGACAUACUCCCUCUUCCAACAAAAAUUAAUGUAUUAUGUUUUAUAGUAAUGCAUAAUUAUUUAAGAA
This is an RNA transcript of Brassica napus (rape), 7031 nucleotides long. It is a transcript of the gene named putative phospholipid:diacylglycerol acyltransferase 2, with no coding region annotated. Lineage: Eukaryota; Viridiplantae; Streptophyta; Magnoliopsida; Brassicales; Brassicaceae. The record is from RefSeq and is a predicted model, not a curated record. The transcript has 5 exons.